This 433-nucleotide ribosomal RNA is filed under the name uncultured bacterium. RNAcentral's name for it is "partial 16S ribosomal RNA". It matches the Rfam family "Bacterial small subunit ribosomal RNA", at positions 29 to 507 of the family's 1533-position model. The record is from RNAcentral.
AACGAACGCUGGCGGCAUGCCUAACACAUGCAAGUCGAACGAGACCUUCGGGUCUAGUGGCGCACGGGUGCGUAACGCGUGGGAACCUGCCCUUAGGUUCGGAAUAACUCCCCGAAAGGGGUGCUAAUACCGGAUAAUGUCAUCGGACCAAAGAUUUAUCGCCUUUGGAUGGGCCCGCGUUGGAUUAGCUAGUUGGUAGGGUAAAAGCCUACCAAGGCGACGAUCCAUAGCUGGUCUGAGAGGAUGACCAGCCACACUGGGACUGAGACACGGCCCAGACUCCUACGGGAGGCAGCAGUGGGGAAUAUUGGACAAUGGGCGAAAGCCUGAUCCAGCAAUGCCGCGUGAGUGAUGAAGGCCUUAGGGUUGUAAAGCUCUUUUACCCGGGAUGAUAAUGACAGUACCGGGAGAAUAAGCUCCGGCUAACUCCGUG